RNAcentral lists this ribosomal RNA (492 nucleotides) under uncultured Bacteroidota bacterium. Its description in RNAcentral is "bacterial SSU rRNA". It matches the Rfam family "Bacterial small subunit ribosomal RNA", at positions 660 to 1157 of the family's 1533-position model. The record is from RNAcentral. Lineage: Bacteria; Pseudomonadati; Bacteroidota.
GGCGGAAUGUGUCAUGUAGCGGUGAAAUGCAUAGAUAUGACAUGGAACACCAAUUGCGAAGGCAGCUCACUAAACUAUUACUGACGCUCAUGGACGAAAGCAUGGGGAGCGAACAGGAUUAGAUACCCUGGUAGUCCAUGCUGUAAACUAUGAUCACUAGAUGUUGGCGAUAUAUUGUCAGUGUUUUAGAGAAAUCGUUAAGUGAUCCACCUGGGGAGUACAUUCGCAAGAAUGAAACUCAAAGGAAUUGACGGGGGCCCGCACAAGCGGUGGAGCAUGUGGUUUAAUUCGAUGAUACGCGAGGAACCUUACCAAGACUUAAAUGUAUUUUGCUAAAUUGAGAAAUCAGUUGUUCUUCGGACAAUUUACAAGGUGCUGCAUGGUUGUCGUCAGCUCGUGCCGUGAGGUGUCGGGUUAAGUCCCAUAACGAGCGCAACCCCUAUUUUUAGUUACCAGCGAAUAAUGUCGGGGACUCUAGAAACACUGCCUGUG